UUGGGGUGCGACCGCGCCCGCCCGCCGUGCCACAUACCAAACCACGGGUUCCAGAGUCCGUCGGCGGACGGGUGAGUCACGCGUGGGUCACCCGCCGUCUCACCGGGGGAUAACACUUCGAAAUCGGUCGCUCAUCACCGCAUAAGCGCACGGCUCCGCACGGGGCAGCGUGAAAAACUCCGGCGGUAUACGAUGGAUUCCGCGUCUGAUUAGCUAGUUCGGCGGGGUAACGGCUCACCAAGGCAGCGAUCAGUAGCCGACCUGAGAGGGUGGACGGCCACAUUGGGACUGAGACACGGCCCAAACUCCUACGGGAGGCAGCAGUGGGGAAUAUUGCACAAUGGGGGAAACCCUGAUGCAGCGACGCCGCGUGAGUGAAGAAGUAUCUCGGUACGUAAAGCUCUAUCAGCAGGGAAGAAAAUGACGGUACCUGACUAAGAAGCCCCGGCUAACUACGUGCCAGCAGCCGCGGUAAUACGUAGGGGGCAAGCGUUAUCCGGAUUUACUGGGUGUAAAGGGAGCGUAGACGGCAGCACAAGUCUGGAGUGAAAUCCCGGGGCUUAACCCCGGAACUGCUUUGGAAACUGUGCGGCUGGAGUGCAGGAGGGGUAAGCGGAAUUCCUAGUGUAGCGGUGAAAUGCGUAAAUAUUAGGAGGAACACCGGUGGCGAAGGCGGCUUACUGGACUGUAACUGACGUUGAAGCUCCAAAGCGUGGGGAGCAAACAGGAUUAAAUACCCUGGUAAUCCAC
This 750-nucleotide ribosomal RNA is filed under the name uncultured bacterium. RNAcentral describes it as "bacterial SSU rRNA". It matches the Rfam family "Bacterial small subunit ribosomal RNA", at positions 37 to 798 of the family's 1533-position model. The record is from RNAcentral.